ACACCUCAACUCUCAUGGCUUGCCAUGAUGAGCUUGGACUUUGGGGGUUUUGCUGGCCUAUGGUCAGCUCCUCUCAAAUGAAUUAGCUUCCCAGUGUUUGGUUGGCAUCACAGGUGUGAUAACUAUCUACGCUUGUGGUUUCCACCAGAUAACCUUCAGUAAUGUGGGGGUUCGCUGGAGCUCAUAAAUGUCUCUCCUCAGUGGGGACAGCUCUUUGAAC
Molecule: unclassified non-coding RNA, 220 nt
Filed under: uncultured Tomentella
Lineage: Eukaryota; Fungi; Basidiomycota; Agaricomycetes; Thelephorales; Thelephoraceae
Also listed under: 1 other name
Description: sequence contains ITS2
Source: RNAcentral